UACGUAGGGUGCGAGCGUUAAUCGGAAUUACUGGGCGUAAAGUGUGCGCAGGCGGCGUCGCAAGUCGAGUGUGAAAUCCCCGGGCUUAACUUGGGAAUUGCGCUCGAAACUACGGUGCUGGAGUAUGGCAGAGGGGGGUGGAAUUCCACGUGUAGCAGUGAAAUGCGUAGAGAUCGUAAGGAAGACCAGUGGCGAAGGCGAGUUUCUGGACGGUAACUGACGCUGAGGCACGAAGGCCAGGGGAGCAAACGGG
RNAcentral lists this ribosomal RNA (253 nucleotides) under uncultured bacterium. RNAcentral's name for it is "partial 16S ribosomal RNA". It matches the Rfam family "Bacterial small subunit ribosomal RNA", at positions 524 to 776 of the family's 1533-position model. The record is from RNAcentral.